GAGUUUGAUCCUGGCUCAGAUUGAACGCUGGCGGCAGGCUUAACACAUGCAAGUCGAACGGUAACAUGAGUGCUUGCACUUGAUGACGAGUGGCGGACGGGUGAGUAAGGUAUGGGGAUCUGCCGAAUGGAGGGGGACAACAGUUGGAAACGACUGCUAAUACCGCAUAAUGUUGAGAGACCAAAGCAUGGGACCUUCGGGCCAUGCGCCAUUUGAUGAACCCAUAUGGGAUUAGCUAGUUGGUAGGGUAAAGGCUUACCAAGGCGACGAUCUCUAGCUGGUCUGAGAGGAUGACUAGCCACACUGGAACUGAGACACGGUCCAGACUCUUACGGGAGGCAGCAGUGGGGAAUAUUGCACAAUGGGGGAAACCCUGAUGCAGCCAUGCCGCGUGUAUGAAGAAGGCCUUCGGGUUGUAAAGUACUUUCGGUAAUGAGGAAGGUGGUGUAUCUAAUAGGUGCAUCAAUUGACGUUAAUUACAGAAGAAGCACCGGCUAACUCCGUGCCAGCAGCCGCGGUAAUACGGAGGGUGCGAGCGUUAAUCGGAAUGACUGGGCGUAAAGGGCAUGUAGGCGGAUAAUUAAGUUAGGUGUGAAAGCCCUGGGCUCAACCUAGGAAUUGCACUUAAAACUGGUUAACUAGAGUAUUGUAGAGGAAGGUAGAAUUCCACGUGUAGCGGUGAAAUGCGUAGAGAUGUGGAGGAAUACCGGUGGCGAAGGCGGCCUUCUGGACAGAUACUGACGCUGAGAUGCGAAAGCGUGGGGAGCAAACAGGAUUAGAUACCCUGGUAGUCCACGCUGUAAACGAUGUCGAUUUGGAGUUUGUUGCCUUGAGUGAUGGGCUCCGAAGCUAACGCGAUAAAUCGACCGCCUGGGGAGUACGGCCGCAAGGUUAAAACCCAAAUGAAUUGACGGGGGCCCGCACAAGCGGUGGAGCAUGUGGUUUAAUUCGAUGCAACGCGAAGAACCUUACCUGGUCUUGACAUCCACAGAAUCUUGCAGAGAUGCGAGAGUGCCUUCGGGAACUGUGAGACAGGUGCUGCAUGGCUGUCGUCAGCUCGUGUUGUGAAAUGUUGGGUUAAGUCCCGCAACGAGCGCAACCCUUAUCCUUUGUUGCCAGCGGUUUGGCCGGGAACUCAAAGGAGACUGCCGUUGAUAAAGCGGAGGAAGGUGGGGACGACGUCAAGUCAUCAUGGCCCUUACGACCAGGGCUACACACGUGCUACAAUGGCGUAUACAAAGGGAGGCGA
This 1249-nucleotide ribosomal RNA is filed under the name uncultured Gammaproteobacteria bacterium. Its description in RNAcentral is "bacterial SSU rRNA". It matches the Rfam family "Bacterial small subunit ribosomal RNA", at positions 9 to 1252 of the family's 1533-position model. Lineage: Bacteria; Pseudomonadati; Pseudomonadota; Gammaproteobacteria. The record is from RNAcentral.